Molecule: transfer RNA, 73 nt
Filed under: Achalinus rufescens (Boulenger's odd-scaled snake)
Lineage: Eukaryota; Metazoa; Chordata; Lepidosauria; Squamata; Xenodermidae
Description: tRNA-Leu
Rfam family: tRNA
About the family: Transfer RNA (tRNA) molecules are approximately 80 nucleotides in length.
Source: RNAcentral
GUUGGCGUAGCAAAACCCGGCCAUGCGGGGGGCUUAAAACCCCUAAACAGAUGUUCAAAUCAUCUCCCCAACA